AUUUGGCAGGCGACUCAAGAAGGCAGUGGAGCGAAGUCCGUGUUUGCUGUAUUUCGCUCUCGAACGACGGGUGUUGAAGAAAAUGAUGGAUCAUGUUUCACAAUGUUGCAAGAAAAUAAAUACGGUAUACGACGAAGAAGCGUGUUAUAGUGAGUGCAAUAUUAGUGCGUCGUAUUAGUGCACUGAUAAAAAUGAAUGUGAACGAUGUGUCUGCAAACGAGGCCACAAAAAAUGAAGCACCGCUCCGAAUUUCACAGUAUUGUUUAAUGUUAUCAGCUCCAUUUGCGCACUUGCUACAUUUCGCAAUAAAUCGGUGAAAACAAUAUCGACAGUAUUUAUGUCGUUAUUAAGCUUCACCGAAUGUAAAAGUUAUCA
Schistocerca gregaria is the source of this 375-nucleotide long non-coding RNA. RefSeq lists it as uncharacterized. Lineage: Eukaryota; Metazoa; Arthropoda; Insecta; Orthoptera; Acrididae. The transcript is spliced from 2 exons. The record is from RefSeq and is a predicted model, not a curated record.